GGAAUAUUGGACAAUGGGCGAAAGCCUGAUCCAGCCAUGCCGCGUGUGUGAAGAAGGUCUUCGGAUUGUACAGCACUUUAAGUUGGGAGGAAGGGCAGUAACUUAAUACGUUGCUGUUUUGACGUUACAGACAGAAUAAGCACCGGCCAACUCUGUGCGCGCAGCCGCGGUAAUACAGAGGGUGCAAGCGUUAAUCGGAAUUACUGGGCGUAAAGCGCGCGUAGGUGGUUCGUUAAGUUGGAUGUGAAAGCCCCGGGCUCAACCUGGGAACUGCAUUCAAAACUGUCGAGCUAGAGUACGGUAGAGGGUGGUGGAAUUUCCUGUGUAGCGGUGAAAUGCGUAGAUAUAGGAAGGAACACCAGUGGCGAAGGCGACCACCUGGACUGAUACUGACGCUGAGGUGCGAAAGCGUGGGGAUCAAAC
RNAcentral lists this ribosomal RNA (423 nucleotides) under uncultured bacterium. RNAcentral describes it as "bacterial SSU rRNA". It matches the Rfam family "Bacterial small subunit ribosomal RNA", at positions 358 to 773 of the family's 1533-position model. The record is from RNAcentral.